GCUCGAGGACGACCUCGGGCUCCAGCUCCUCAUCCGGACGACCCG
This 45-nucleotide non-coding RNA is filed under the name Lutibaculum baratangense AMV1. Its description in RNAcentral is "Phyllobacteriaceae bacterium AMV1 Guanidine-II riboswitch aptamer (mini-ykkC)". It matches the Rfam family "Guanidine-II riboswitch aptamer (mini-ykkC)". From Rfam's summary of the family: Simpler in structure and has fewer highly conserved nucleotide positions than the ykkC-yxkD leader. Despite this each of its two stem-loop structures directly bind free guanidine. The record is from Rfam by way of RNAcentral. Lineage: Bacteria; Pseudomonadati; Pseudomonadota; Alphaproteobacteria; Hyphomicrobiales; Tepidamorphaceae. RNAcentral also lists the same sequence under 1 other name.